This is a long non-coding RNA of Carassius gibelio (silver crucian carp), 441 nucleotides long. RefSeq lists it as uncharacterized. The transcript has 4 exons. The record is from RefSeq and is a predicted model, not a curated record. Lineage: Eukaryota; Metazoa; Chordata; Actinopteri; Cypriniformes; Cyprinidae.
GUCAAAGUGUCCUGUCUUUCUAAAGGCUACAGUGGAUUGGUGAAUCAAGGAGCCACAUGUUAUCUGAAUGCAGUUCUGCAAACACUUUUCAUGACAGAAGAGUUCAGAAAAGCCAUCAUGAAGUUAAAGGAAAGUGACAUGAAACGUGUUUCUUUUGAACUUAAAAAGUUAUUCAGCUGUUUAGAGUCUAAAAAUGGAUGUGCCAUUACAAAUGGAGUCACAAAUGCUCUAGGCAUUGGAAAUGUUUGUGAACAGCAGGACGCUGCAGAAUAUUAUCAGAUGAUUCUGAGUAGGAUUGACUCUGAACCAGCAACGGUAUUCCAAGGAAUCAAGAAACACUCAACCACCUGUUUACCUGCAAAACAUGUUCCCAUUGAAGAAAUAAUUUCUUUUUUUUCUUUGCCCAUUGCUAUGGACUCUGAUCAAAAUAAAAUUGAUGUA